RNAcentral lists this long non-coding RNA (1853 nucleotides) under Olea europaea subsp. europaea. Lineage: Eukaryota; Viridiplantae; Streptophyta; Magnoliopsida; Lamiales; Oleaceae. The record is from RNAcentral.
CCCUACCCAAAUCCGUAAAAAAUAGAACCCAACCCCUUCCAUGGCACACAUGGAUCCUCACUUUGAUGAGAACUCUGGUGAAUCUGACCCCUUGGAAUCUCAUCAUAUAAACUCUUCUUCUAUGAUAUCUAAAUUGACAGCAAAGAUAACAGAAGUUUUGAGCAAAGCUUCAGCACCUACUUCAGCCGCUGACUUAAUGGCUACAGGGAUCGGUAUCAAGCUAGACGGCACGAAUUAUGCCCUCUGGUCACAGGUCGUAGAGAUGUACGUAGCAGGCAAAGAUAAACUUGGAUACCUCAAUGGAGACCUUCCUCAGCCACCAACAAUCAACCUUCAUUUCGUAAGUGGCAGACUGAAAAUUCAAAUGUAAAGGGAUGGCUGAUUGGUUCAAUGGACUCAUCCCUUAUUGGCAACUUCAUCUGAUUUCUAACAACAAAGCAGGUUUGGGAUGCAAUUGCAACCACUUACUUUGAUGGAAGUGAUGCAUCCCAGGUUUACGAACUCCGACGGUGAGUGGCACGGCUUAGGCAAGGUAGCGGGAGAUUGGAAAAGUAUUACAAUGAUCUCCAAGGCUUAUGGCGUGAGAUUGAUUUUCGUCGUCCCAACCCAAUGAAAUGUCCAGAAGAUAUUAAACACUAUAACAAUAUGUUGCAGGAGGAUCAGGUAUAUACUUUUCUUGAUGGUUUGGAUGAUAAAUUGGAUAAUAUUAGAAGUGAUGUUUUACAACUUCAGCCCUUUCCCACAUUAGAGCAGGCGUAUGCCCAUGUUCGGAGAGAAGCUAUUCGACAAUCAGUAAUGACAAUCAAUGAUGGAGAAGACACGGCCGGGGCGGUGUUGGCGGCUCUCCACUCCAGCCAACUCUUUGUCAUUGACCGUAAAACUCAAUUCAGCCCCUAAAUCAAUAGUCCCAUCUGAUGGAACUAAAUGUUCUCAUUGUGGAAGUUUGAAACAUAACCGAGACACAUGCUUCAAAUUGCAUGGCUACCCGGAUUGGUGGCAUGAAUUACAAGCCAAGAGACGACGAGAUGGUAACAAGAAUGAUGGUGGAACAAGCAAAAGUGCAGCAAACAGCAUGGGCAAGGCGGCAAUAGCCUCUACUUAGUCUAAAUUGUCACUUGUUCCUACGGCAACAACUGACUUGGAUACAGGUAUGAGUUUUCUCGGGAUCAAUACAUCUGAAUCUUACGAUGGUUGGAUCCUUGAUUCAGGAGCAACUGACCACAUGAUGUAUGAUGCAAGUGACUUUUCUGAACGAUCCUCUCCUCAACGUAUUAGUAUUGUUAAUGCUAAUGGAGACGUAUCUUUGGUAAAUGGGGCUGGUACAGUGAUGAUUUCACCAACCCUCUCCUUAACUAAUACUCUUUUUGUGCCCUCAUUGUCUUAUAAAUUAUUGUUAGUAAGCCAAAUCACGAAGGAGUUAAAUUGUGUUGUUCUGAUUUAUCCCACUUUUUGCCUUCUUUAGGAUAUUCUCACCAAGGAGAUAAUUGGGCGUGGUACUAAAAGGAGGGGGCUCUACUAUAUGUAAGAUUUUGGCAUCGGUCAAGCUAAUCACACUAGAGGCUCCGGUGAUCAAAAUAAGUCAAAUAUUUUGCUAUGGCAUCGUCGGUUAGGACAUCCUUCGUUUGGUUAUCUGAAACAUGUAUCUCCUACUUUAUUUUCCAAUUUGUCAGAUUUGGAUCUUAAAUGUGAAACAUGCAUCUUAGCUAAAAGUCGCCGUGCUACUUAUCCUUUAAGUUUGAAUAAGAGUUAGACACCUUUCGAAUUGAUUCAUUCUGAUGUGUGGGGUCCAUCUCCCAAACCUACUAUAUCUGGUGUUCAAUGACUUGUGAUUUUUGUGGAUGAUUGCACUCGUA